Molecule: ribosomal RNA, 534 nt
Filed under: uncultured bacterium
Lineage: Bacteria
Description: bacterial SSU rRNA
Rfam family: Bacterial small subunit ribosomal RNA
Source: RNAcentral
AGAGUUUGAUCAUGGCUCAGGACGAACGCUGGCGGCGUGCCUAAUACAUGCAAGUAGAACGCUGAAGGAGGAGCUUGCUUCUCUGGAUGAGUUGCGAACGGGUGAGUAACGCGUAGGUAACCUGCCUGGUAGCGGGGGAUAACUAUUGGAAACGAUAGCUAAUACCGCAUAAGAGUAGAUGUUGCAUGACAUUUGCUUAAAAGGUGCAAUUGCAUCACUACCAGAUGGACCUGCGUUGUAUUAGCUAGUUGGUGGGGUAACGGCUCACCAAGGCGACGAUACAUAGCCGACCUGAGAGGGUGAUCGGCCACACUGGGACUGAGACACGGCCCAGACUCCUACGGGAGGCAGCAGUAGGGAAUCUUCGGCAAUGGACGGAAGUCUGACCGAGCAACGCCGCGUGAGUGAAGAAGGUUUUCGGAUCGUAAAGCUCUGUUGUAAGAGAAGAACGAGUGUGAGAGUGGAAAGUUCACACUGUGACGGUAUCUUACCAGAAAGGGACGGCUAACUACGUGCCAGCCGCCGCGGUAAUUC